Molecule: ribosomal RNA, 253 nt
Filed under: uncultured bacterium
Lineage: Bacteria
Description: partial 16S ribosomal RNA
Rfam family: Bacterial small subunit ribosomal RNA
Source: RNAcentral
UACGUAGGGUGCAGGCGUUAAUCGGAAUUACUGGGCGUAAAGCGUGCGCAGGCGGUCUUUUAAGUCAGAUGUGAAAUCCCCGGGCUUAACCUGGGAACUGCGUUUGAAACUGAAAGGCUAGAGUGUGGCAGAGGGGGGUGGAAUUCCACGUGUAGCAAUGAAAUGCGUAGAGAUGUGGAGGAACACCGAUGGCGAAGGCAGCCCCCUGGGCUAACACUGACGCUCAUGCACGAAAGCGUGGGGAGCAAACAGG